AUGAACAAUGCUCUCUCGGCCCCUUACACUACUGAAGAUGUUCGUAAGGCAUUAUUCGUUAUCGAAGACUUAAAGGCUCCGGGACCAUAUGGACUCCAUGCUAUUUUCUACAAGAGGUUUUGGCCCAUGUUAGGGGAUGAUCUAAUUGAGGAAGUUUUGGAGGCAAUCUACACAUGUACUAUCCCUGCGGGUUGGAACGAGACUGUAAUAGUGAUGAUCCCAAAGGUGAACACACCCGAAAAGGUAACCCAAUUUAGGCCGAUCAGUUUAUGCAAUGUGGUGUAUAAAAUAAUUGCAAAUAUGGUGGCUUCUUGUUUGAAGGUGUUUCUACCAGAUAUCAUUAGUCAAACACAGAGUGCUUUUGUGCCUGGUAGAUUGAUUACAAAUAAUAUUUUAGUGGUGUAUGAGUGCUUUCACACAAUCAAUAAUAGAAGAUAAGGUAGAGAGGGAUUAUGUGCUAUAAAACUAGAUAUGCACAAAGCCUACGACAGGGUUGAGUGGCUGUACUUGAAGGAGAUUAUGUUAAGAUUGGGCUUCCGCCAAGAGUGGGUGAACUUUAUCAUGCAAUGCAUCUCAACUGUUGAAUAUAGAGUUAGGAUUAAUACGGAGGAAAGUGAGAGUUUUAAGCCUACAAGGGGCUUGAGACAGGGUGAUGCAUUGUCACCUUACCUAUUCUUGUUGUGCAUAGAGGAGUUGAAUGCUUUACUUACACACACAGAGGAAAAUGGAAAGAUUUCAGGAGUAAAAGUAUGUAGUGAUGCCCCGGCCAUCACAAAUCUUCUCUUUGCGGAUGACUCUUUAAUUCUCAUGAAAGCCAACCAACAGAGUGUAGAAGCUCUGAAAUUAGCGCUAGAUUUAUAUUGUGCGGCAUCAAGACAAUUGGUAAGUGUUGAAAAGUCUAGCAUUUUCUUUAGCCCCAACACGAGGGUGGAGAUUAGAGAACAAAUGUGUACAACACUGGAUAUUAUGACAGAGGCUCUCAAUGAUAAAUAUCUUGGUUUGCCAGGAAAUAUGGGGUUAGAUAAAACAGAUUGCUUCCAAUUUCUAAUUGAACAAAUUAUUAAGAAAAUUAGUGGUUGGAAGUAAAAAUUAUUGUUAGCGGGAGGGAAAGAGAUCCUACUCAAGGUUGUUGUCCAAGCCAUUCCCACCUAUGCAAUGUCAGUCUUUAAAAUUCCUAAAAAGAUUGUAAAGGAAAUUGAUGCGAUAGCACAUUUUUGGUGGGGUGACGAGGAGAACCAGAGGAGGAUGCAUUGGAUGGCCUAG
This 1263-nucleotide ribosomal RNA is filed under the name Triticum aestivum (bread wheat). RNAcentral's name for it is "partial small subunit ribosomal RNA". The record is from RNAcentral. Lineage: Eukaryota; Viridiplantae; Streptophyta; Magnoliopsida; Poales; Poaceae.